CAGAAAACAGAAAGGAAGAAUAAGAGGAAUGUUAAAAGCCAACGCUUUUCCAGCUCUCAUGGUGUGCCUGACACUGUGCAAAGGGCGUUACCUACAAUUACCUCAUUUGACUCUGACAGUAGUAACCCAUGAGACAUACGUUGCUAUUACCUCAUUUUACAGAUGACACACUAAGGCGCAAGGCAGCUGCACAUCCACGGCCAGCCUCGUUGUCUUCAGGGAUUUGUUCAAAGUUCAUUCUGAAUUGUAAGGUAACCACUGCAGAACACGAGCCUUUCCUGGGUAUGUGUGGUUAUUUCUGCCCUUCACGGUCCCACUCAAGUCCUGCCUCCCUCAGGGAGACCUCCCAGACCUCACCAAGCCGUGGGCACGUGGACCAGAAGCCGUGGACCCCAGAGGCUCAUUUAGGGAUCUGCUUUCUGAACCCAGGUCCUAACAUCUGCACUGCAGCGAGCAUUUCUGGUGCCUCAAGUGAGUCACUCCAACUUCCAGCUCACUGAGAGGCGAUGGAGCACUGAGUGCCAGCAUCUUCCAGCACCAGAGGAGCUGACUCUGAAUAGACAGCUCGGCAGCGGCCUCAGCACAGAGCAGGGGAGCCACCAGCCACAGGCAGCCACUGAGCCCUUGGCAUGUAACCCGGUAACCCAUGCAACAGAAGACCUGAGCGUCCAGUGUUGCUAGCUUGAAGUAACUUCAGUGGUGUUCCCCAGCGUUUUUCUCAUCCCCCUCCCUUCCCUUCCCCUACAGCUUUCUUCCUCUUUCCCCUCCUUCUGAGUCUUUCGUCCCCAGUCCUGGGAACCUUUUUUCUGACUUGGUGUUUUCUCCUGAAUGCCUCCUUCCUGGCCCCCUAAUCAGAAAUGCAGAAGCCACCUGCCCCACACAGGGGGCCACUUUCCCUGCAUCUGGCACUCACCAGGACAGUCAUAGAACUGGCCUUGGGUGCUUGGGGAGAGUGGAGAGGUCUGGGGGGCAUCCACUGGCCUCAGCCUCAGAGCUUCUCAUCAGUAACCCAGGAGGCAAAGGCCCAGCUCAAGAUUAGCCCAGGCCACUGUAUCUGUGCCAAGACCUACAGCUGUCCCUGCAGGGCGUGCAUCUCUGCAGCCCAGGCUAUCACAAUGGUGUCCCUUUUGGUGGGGAUGUGAGGCCUGCUGCUGCCUGGGAAGAAGCUGACAGGAUUGUUGGUGCUGUGGGGAGAAGCUGGUGUAACUGAGACCCAUGAGGGAGGCCCUUUGUGGGUCUGUGGCUGGGAGGAGCUCUGGGGAAGAUGGGCCUUGAGAAAUCCCAGCUUAGCACCUUUGACAGUUGCUCCACUGAGUCACCCUAGACUGCAAUCUCACAGAUGUUCUAACCACCCUCUCCCUGGGGAGCCCUUGGGGGUGCUGCAAGCCCAGUCCUCACUCACUGGCUUUGUGCUUCUCUUCCCGACUUCCUUUUUUUGCUCCUGUUGAGAAAUGUGGGUCCAGGGCUGCGUGCUCCAGUGUGCGGAAGGAAGGGCAGCGUGCUCUUUGGACUGAGCUGGCUCAAGGGAAGCUGGGUCUGAGGGGAGACUGACCUCGACCCUUCUUAAAUGAAACACCUUUUCCCUGCGUCUCAGUCACCGUUACCUGGCCUGAUCACUGUGUGCCACACCCCAUCACAUCCAUCCCCACAAGAAUGCCAGGAGGAGGGGUCAUUGGCCUUUUUGUCAGCACAAACCUCUGGAGGCCCAGCUCCCAAGACCCGCCAGGCACACCUGCCAGAGUGCCUUAACUUGGGAUGUCUGCAAACCUCUGUCCAUGGCCGAACCCACCCCACUGCCUGUUACUGUAAAUAAAGGUCUAUUAGCAUGCCACCAUGCCCCUCCUCCGAUGCAUACAGUGCCCAGCUCAGCACCUGGUGCAAGUAAGCACAAUCUGGCUUCCAGCCAUCACUGCUGUUGCUACUAACACAAAUAUUAGGCCCCUUCUAGAAUGCAAAGAUAACCCAGGGCUGCUCGUUCUGUGUCCAGAUCACAGAGUUUUUCUUUUUAUCCUUAUCAACUUUAUUGAGGGAUAAUUUACAGGCAAUAAAUCAUAUCCAUUUAAAGUUAUUGUCAAGCUUUUAAAGAAUUAAAGUUCGUCUUCUUCAGAAGCUUACCGAGGACUACAGGCUGUGGCGUAGAGCCCUGGAGCAGCCUCCACUGAGGUUCUGUAUUUCAGGUCACAGUUGACAUAUAGGUGGGAGGUCCAGUACGUGCAAAGUCACAUGAAAGCUUGGGUGUCAGAGUGCAUCAGGUUAUGGAUUCAAUUACAGAGCAAUAAUCACUGACCCUGUCAGAUGUUAUCUUACGUGUAGGAAAAGGUAAGACCAGGGCCAUUUAUCUGCAAAGAAUAUAGUGACUCAGGCAAGAGUCCGGAGAGGGUGUGUGCUCCAUCCUGUUUUGUCUUCAGAGCAUCUUUCUGGGGAGCUGCACAUCGUUAUAGAGACAGGCACUUUGUGAAAUUCUGCUGCCAAGCACAAAUGAGCAAACGUGGUUUCCUAUGUUUACUACUUUGUCUCACAAAGCGCACAUUCACAGUGCAUUAUUAAGGGGCCCUGGCAGCACCGCCACAGUGUAUCUCUGCUCCCUCUUAAAGUUCCCCGUGCCCCUUGGCAGACAGGCCCCUCUCACUCCUGGGCCCAGGCUACCAUUGACCAGCUUUUUGCCACUAGAGGUUAAUUUUCAUUCUAUGUGAUUGGAAUCAUACAGAUGUUCUUGUAUCUGACUUAUUUCACUCCACAUAGUGAUUCUGAGAUUCAAAUGUUGUGUGUAUCAGUUGUUUGUUCCUUUUUAUUCCUGAAUGGGAGAGGGGAUGUCAAGCUGCACAGUUUUAUUCCUGGGCUACAGUGGAGAUGGAUGGUUCUACCGUCUCUCUGAAACACCAUCUGCAGUUUCUUCAAAAUCUACCUACACAUCUUCCAUCCCAUCCUGAGGAGUCCCCGAGGGUUGAGAAAUGCAUGACCCCACACCUGGCUGACGUGUACAACUGGCGGAGUUAGUUUUUCCUGUUGACACUGGCCACGGGCGCCUCAGCAUGCACAGCCCUGGCCUUGCUCCUCUAGGCAUGCUGGGGGCUUGUCCACACGUGUGGUCUACGGAUGGAGGAGAGUGGCCUCUGGCCCAUGCGUGCCAUGCACUGGACCUUCCCAGGGAAUCAAGUUACAUGAUGUUUCCUUGAGGAGCUACAUACAAAGUAAAAAACUGAAAUCAAGAAUAUCAGUCAUUUCUGAAUAUGCCAAUUCGCCCAUGGUGCAGUUUGUACAGCUUAAUCACUGCAGAACAGUUUUGAGGAUAAAAUUAACCAAAAACCUAAGUAGACAAAAUAUUCAAAUUUUUGGAAUCUGUCACAAAAAUCCACAGAUGACUUAUUUUCCAUUGUAGCUUAUAAUGUCCAAAAGCCUUUCUAGUGACUUAUAACUGAUGGUGAGCUCCCACUCUGUGGCAGCUGUGGGACACUGGUCUAAGGACUACACCCUGAUGCCUGGUGAGUUACAGAGGCCAUGAGAAGAUGUCAGUGAACCUGAAAGCCAGGGAGAGGCUGUGUUCCUGCCGGACUGUGGGGCUCCUUCGCUCCCCUGCUGUGGCCCUUGGUCAGGCCACUUUCCCUCUCUGGGUGUCAGUGGCUUCAUCUACGAAGUGAUAAAAAACUAAUGCAAACCAGAGCAAAAUGAGAUAACACGGGGACCCCUAAUGUCCCAGGGAGAUGGUGAACUGAAGCACCGCGUGCGGUGAGUUGUUGCUGUCUCCACCCCUCAAGGAGACCGCAGCUUUGCAGACGUGUGGGUCCCAUCAUCGGCCCCAUUCUACAUUCCUCCCUGUGUCCCUGCCAUCGCCAGGUGACUUUGCUGGGCCCUCCCACCGCCCUAACUCCCAAUCCCAAGAUCUUCAGUGAACGUGACGCGCACAGCAGAGGCCCAGAAUGUAUGUGUGCAUGUGGUGACAGCUAAGCCUGCCUGGAGCAGAGCCCCAACCCUGCAGCAGCUCAAACAAGCUGAGAUCAGCAAAUGCACAUCUGACUCUCAGACAUGGGGGCAAUAAUAAUAAAUGCUGUUUGAGUUUUGGGGUCUUUGGCUACACAGCAAUUGCUCACCAAUAUGACAGGGUUGUAUGACGUGGCCAUGCGGAACUGUAUUAUAGGGGAAGUGGUGAACAGUGUGAUGAGAUUUUAAAGAGGAACAGAUUUACCACUGACUUUAGAAAUCAUGGAGGAGAAAUCUCUGGGGUUGCCCUUGAAGGGUGUGUGGAGGAGGACAUGGGAGAAGGGGGAAGAACCGUGGCAUCCUGGCUAAACAGACACAGGGCAGAGGGAGCCUCUGUGUUGGGACUAAGAUGGGGAUGUCGGGGAAGGGACAUGGCAAGCUGACUGUUGGUGGGGAAGGCACGUGUGGGGCUAUAUUGUGAUCAUUGUGAUGUAUAUACAUUGUCACCUCCUACUGUCUCUGAGUCCGGCUGUCCCAAGCCCCCGCCGUGGAAUCCAGCAGUGUUCGGGCCAACUCUCAGAACCUUGGCUUUGUCUGGGGGACCCCUCCCAGACCACUUCACCUGCAAGCCCUCC
Molecule: long non-coding RNA, 4553 nt
Filed under: Homo sapiens (human)
Lineage: Eukaryota; Metazoa; Chordata; Mammalia; Primates; Hominidae
Description: PREDICTED lncRNA (TCONS_00169997)
Source: RNAcentral